CAAUAGGUAGUUUAUAUAAAAUAUUAAUUUUGGAGAUUAAUGACGAGUUUAUACUUUCUAUUGA
This 64-nucleotide transfer RNA is filed under the name Angerianus maurus. Its description in RNAcentral is "tRNA-Pro". Lineage: Eukaryota; Metazoa; Arthropoda; Insecta; Hemiptera; Miridae. The record is from RNAcentral.